UCUAUACAUGCAGUCGACGGUAACAUUGGUGCUUGCACCAGAUGACGAGUGGCGCAGGGUGCGUAACGCGUAUGCAAUCUACCUUUUACUAGAGUAUAGCCCAGAGAAAUUUGGAUUAAUCCUCUAUAAUAUCUUUUAAUUUCAUGAUUUUAAGAUUAAAGUUUUAACGGUAAAAGAUGAGCAUGCGUCCUAUUAGUUUGUAGGUGAGGUAACGGCUCACCUAGACUACGAUAGGUAGGGGCCCUGAGAGGGGGAUCCCCCACACUGGUACUGAGACACGGACCAGACUCCUACGGGAGGCAGCAGUAAGGAAUAUUGGACAAUGGACGAAAGUCUGAUCCAGCCAUGCCGCGUGCAGGAUGAAAGCCCUACGGGUUGUAAACUGCUUUUAUACAGGAAGAAACACUCCGACGUGUCGGAGCUUGACGGUACUGUAAGAAUAAGGAUCGGCUAACUCCGUGCCAGCCGCCGGGGG
This 475-nucleotide ribosomal RNA is filed under the name Flavobacteriaceae bacterium enrichment culture clone PSHTC-040. RNAcentral's name for it is "bacterial SSU rRNA". It matches the Rfam family "Bacterial small subunit ribosomal RNA", at positions 48 to 521 of the family's 1533-position model. Lineage: Bacteria; Pseudomonadati; Bacteroidota; Flavobacteriia; Flavobacteriales; Flavobacteriaceae. The record is from RNAcentral.